GUGUGGGUAUACUGAUUGCCCCCUGGAUUAGUGCCUCUACAUUGGGGUUAACACUGGCAGAAGACUGCCUUUGGUCUGGGGGACUGGUCAUGACUGUUGUUUGUACUUCUGCUUGGGAACCUAAAUGGUCACGUGGGCAAUGACAGUGAGACCUGGAAGGGCGUGAUUAAGAGGAACGGCCUCCCUAACCUCAAUUUAAGCAGUGUCCUGUUAUGGACUUCUGUGCUCAUCCUGGAAUGUCCAUGAUUAACACGUAGUACUAUGAAUAAGUAAUAGAGCAAUAAUCUGGUACAGUGACAAUUGCACAAAUGGUGCAAGUAGUUUAAAGUGACGAGUAAUGUGGCAAUCUGGAGCAGUGACAAUUGUGCAAAUGAUGCAGAUAGGUCUCAAGCACAUGAGUGGUUGGGCAAUAACAGAUAUACAAAUAGUGCAGAGUGACGAUACUACUACAGUGAGUGCAUGAAUAAUGUAGUAGUUGUCUCAGCAGAGAUGUGCAAAAUUGACAGCAUGUUACAAUAGGAUUGUAAGUCAAAUGUUUAAGAAGCUGUUGGAAUGUCUGCUGGUUUUAGUUUGCAUUGAUCGAUAGCACCUACCUGAUGGAAAGAGCUGGAACAGGUGAUGACCAGGAUGUGGACGGUCCAAGAGGGUUUUGCAUGUUCUUGUUUUAGUUCUAGCAGGGUGCAAGUCCUCACAGGUGGGUAUGGAGGUACAGAUUCUUUUUUCAGUAGUCCUGACUGUCCGUUGCAGUCGGAGUUUGUCCUUUUUUGUGAUGGAUGAACACUGGACCGAUUCGAUGAUUGCUGUGUAAAACUGCCUCAAUUGCUCCUGUGGCAGCCUGUGCUUCCUCAGAAGCCGCAGGAAGUACAUCCUCUACUGGGCCUUUUGAGGAGGGAGUUGAUGUUGGUCUCGCACUUCAGGUCCUGAGAGAUUGUAAUUCCCAGGAACUUGAAAGUAUUGACAGUUGACACAGGGCAGUUGGACAGGGUGAGUGGCAGCUGUAGCGAAGGAUGCUUCCUGAAGUCCACGAUCAUCUCUACAGUCUUGACCGUGUUCGGCUCCAGGUUGUGUCGGCCGCACCAAAGCUCCAGCCGCUCCACUUCCUGUCGAUACGCAGACUCAUCACUGUCUUUGAUGAGGCCAAUUAUUGUGGUGUUGUCUGCAAACUUCAGGACUUUGAUAGCUGGGUGCAUUGAAGUGCAGUCGUUCGUGUAGAGAGAGAAGAGCAGCGGACAGAUCCUUGGGGUGCCCCGGUGCUGAUGGUGCGUAUGGAUGAGGUGGUGCUGUGUCCUGUCUAUCAGGAAGCUGUAAAUCCACUGGCAGAUGGCAGGUGAGACGCUGAGCUGGAGAAGCAUGGAGGAGAGAAGUUCGGGAACGAUGGUGUUGAACGCAGAGCUGAAGUCCACGUGCCGUUCAGGUGUUCGAGGAUGAAGUGCAAUCUCAUGUUGACUGCGUCAUCCACAGACCGGUUUGCUCAGUAGGCAAACUGCAGAGGGUCCAGUAGGGGACCUGUGACGCUCUUGCGGUGGUCCAGCACAAGCGUGUGCGUGUGUGCGUGUGUUGACCUGCUGGCAGAGAGCAGUUGCUUUGCUCCACAUCCCUCCUAAUCUUAACGCAGAGUGGUGACCCCUAUUAGCACCCCUUCUUCUUCUGCUCCUUGCUGGUCCCUGAAUCCCCAAAGACAAAAUAGCUGUAAUUAUUUUUUAAUCAAGAAAAAACAUUAUUUUGGGGGAAGAUUUAUUUUACCCCUAAGGCUAAACCCUUAACCUUUUGAAGGGGAUUUGCUUUUCAAGACACAUUUUUUUUUUUAAAGAAAAAAGUAUUGUAGGGAAAGUUUAAAAUUAUUAUGAAGACUAUAAUUAUUUUGGAGGAGAAAAAGAUCAGAAGAAAGAACAAAAGAGAAGUCAUGCGAAAAUAAAAUAUUUUUUUUAAAGUGAGGUUUUUCAAGAAUUGUUGUUUUUCUAUGAAAAUAUGGUAAUUUUACGAGAAAAGUAAGAUUUUUCAAGGAAAAAAGUAUAUUCGCUAAGAAAAAAGUUCAUAAAGAAUCUUAUGAACAAAAAAGGUAACUCUAAGACUAAUGAGAAAAACAUUCAAAUUUCAAAAAGUAAAUGUCAAAACACACGUUCCUAAACACAACACUCUGGGUCUAGAAAUUAUCGUGACUCCUAGAGACUUUCCAUAUACAAAUUAUGUAAUGUUGUGAAAUAUUUGUUAAAAAUACACCUUCACUCUUCAAAGAUUCUGACUUUUCUUCCAUAAAACUGCAACUGGGGAUUGGCUGUAGACUUCCCUGACAUCCUUCCUGUUGUCCCUUUAUCUCCGACUUGAAGCACGUUUAUUGUGUUUCGCUUACUCAAACUUCACGUUGUUGAAGAAGCAAUAGCUUCAUUACGUAAACACUCCCUAUUGACCGACGGGUGACUUUCUGCCGCGCUGUGAAUUGUGGGUAUUGCGCUGAAUUUACGGCCGUCACCGAUGAAGGGUUAUGUUUAUUCAAUCAGGACGUCGAGAUGUCGCCGAUGUGGCCGUCGAAAGCCCAUCAAUCAUCCUGAAAGAGCGUCUUUGGCUCCAUGCUCAAGGUGGCUGAUGACCAGUUGGAUCUCCUUUUCUGUCACAUCCUUCAAGUUUGAUUUUUUCCAAAAACGAAAGUCAAAAAGGGUUUUUUUAAUCAAGGAAAAAAAGAAAUAAAGGCAGACUUUUUGAAAGGGAAAAAACUGAAAUUAUUAAUUUUUAAAAAGCCAUAAUCUCUUCUCUCUCACUCUCUCUUUUUUCAAGAACAAAGUAUAAUCUAAUGAAAGGUAAUUUUUCAACAACAACAAAAAAACUGAUCUUGGGAGGUAUUGAUACAGAGCAGAAAGUGGAGGAAAUAUUUUUUCUUAUGAAACUAAAUUAUCUUUACUCACGAGGCAUUAUAAAAAGAGAGUUUGCUAAAUAAUUUCAUUGCAUAUCUAGAAAAGCUCUAUAGAAAAAAACCUUAUUGUUUUUGUUAGUGGUAAUCAUAGUUGUUGUUGAAUCGAUUGCAACUGGACGUUUCGCCUCAGACAGAUUUAAAAGAAGGGUGAGAGGCACCAUAUACACAAAGGUGGAAAAACCAUCUCUUAACAGAGGAGGGUGCUUACGACAUUAGAGGUGAAACGUCUUCUAAGACAAAGAGAAUAGUCCAGUUGCUAUUGAUUCAAUCCCCUGAGAAUGUAAUGACCUGGAUGAAUGAGAAUAUUCACAGGUAUUUUAGUUGUCGGUUGGAUGUGGGUGUUGAAAAAGUGGAGGGUUGGAACACCAUUUGGCAUUGUGGGCCGUUUCAAAUGUUAUUUUUUGUACAUGCCACGGGCCGCUAAAAGUGGGUCGCAGUUUAGACAUCCCUUAUAUAAUGGGACGGCAUCAUCCCAAUUUUUUUACAGCAACAUGUUCUCUUCCAUCUUUUAUAAAAGUGUGUUCUCUCCCCCACCUUAAAUUACUUCUGGGGGGCUUUGCGUGUAAAAGUCGAUGAAUUGUUUCGAGCAGGUCAGGAUUGGAUAGGGCCUCGGCGUCUGGCAUGGAGAAGAUAAGACCUCUUAUCUACCUCUCUGUUUAACAAACCUGCAACCCCAGCCCCUCUUCCUCUUCGUCAUCAUGACCUCCUCACAUCCCAAACCACAAAAAGACAAAAAAGCUUUGCUAAGAGAUAGUAAGCACAGAAAAGAAACCAUUUGCAACUUGUGCAAGACGCAGACAAACAGGACAACAUACUGGAGCUAUGAAGCAAUUACCUUGAAAGUCUAAUGAAAGUGUCAUGUGUGUGUGUGUUCCGGGUUUUGUCUUCCCCCCUGUUUCACACACACCUGCUCCUGUGAGCAUCUUCACCACCUGUGCCUCGUUCACCCUAAUUACCCCUUGUAUUUAACCUCGUGUCUCAUUCCCUCUCGUUGCCAGUUCGUUGUACCUUGUUGUCGUGUUCCAGCAUUCCUUGUUUCCACGUCACAGACUCACACAGAAACAAAUAAGGAGCCAAGGUGCUAUUCAGCGAGGACAACACGAUGCUGUCACUCCUCCGCCAUCUUUUUCGGAGUGACAGUCCUCCUCUUCCUCGUCUUCUUCGACUUCCUCUUCGAAAUUGACGCUGGCAGCACUUCAUUACUGUCACCAUUUUAACAUGAGGAAAUGACGACAAGCAAUUAUGUAUUGGCAGGAUGCAUACUGGAAUAAAUGUUUAUCAUGAAAUAUGA
This is a long non-coding RNA of Phyllopteryx taeniolatus (common seadragon), 4199 nucleotides long. RefSeq lists it as uncharacterized. Lineage: Eukaryota; Metazoa; Chordata; Actinopteri; Syngnathiformes; Syngnathidae. The record is from RefSeq and is a predicted model, not a curated record. The transcript has 2 exons.